UAGGCUUUGAAUUUCAUGGGUAAUGUUUUGUUUUUGAAUGCAUGCAAGCAUGAUUCCGCCUUUAAUUGUUAAUUGCAUGCUAUAUGAUGUUAUUCAAAUGAACAUGUUUUCACAAAAUCAUCCUUCAAGUGAUUCUUGUGUGUGUGUGUGCCAAAGUCUUUAAUAAGGCACGGGUAGAAAAGAAAAAAAAAAUUCGUGAAGAAAAGAAUGAAAAAAAAAGAAAAGUGUGAAAAGUAUGAAAAAGAGUUGAAAAAGAUGUGAAAAAGAGCUCUAAAGUGUUGUUGUUUGUUGAAGAAAGGGUCCAAAAAGUUAAAUUCGGCCCUAAGUGUUGCAUGAACCUUCCCUUUGUGUUUAAAAGUUGAUUUCUGCAUUCUAAAGUGAAUUCUAAGUUUCGAUUUCAUUACUUUGCUUGCUAUUGCUUUAAGAACGUUUUGUUAUCCCUAUCUUUCCUUUGUUAACCAAUAGCCCAAGCCCCGUUACAACCCUUGUCUUCUAUCUUGAGUGUUUGUGCUUCAAUUUGUGGAGUUUGAACUUGGUAUGAGCAUAUGGUGUCACUGGUUCUCACAUCUAAGUAGUAGCAUUCCAUUCAUGAGAUCAUAUCUAAACAUGCUUAUUAACUCCAGAAAUUGCUUUCUUUGUUAUAACAUAUGUGAGUACUAGUUUUUCAUGUUUACAUCAAUCUUCUCACAUAUAACUAGUAUAGGGUGUGUAGUCUGAAAAUCUAUGUGAAAAUUGAGUGCAUAUCUAGUAAGGAAUUGAGGGAAUUCUCUAAGGCAUAUUACUACAUUCAAAACAUCGUUUUAAUUGGUUAAUGGUGAACUAGUAAGUGGUGACUAUGAUUAAGUAUGUGCUCAAGUGUGAAGAUGACUAAAAUCUGUGGGGAUGAUGAUUUUUAACAUGUUAUGUGCAUUGGAAAUCCUUGAGGCAAACGUUGGAAGGUUUAGGUUGUGUUUUGUUUGUUUUGUUUCGUUUUGUUUUCUUGAGUUCGUUUUGUUUUGCUCGAGGACUAGCAAACGCUAAGUGUGGGGGAAUUUGAUAGGAGCAUAUUUAUGCGACUUAGUUAGCUUGUUCUUGUGCAUUUACGUUGUGUUUUCUUAGUUAAGUUAGUCUUUUAAGCCACUUUCAUGUGUUUUCAGGUUUUAAAGGCAAAGUAUGCAAAGAAGUGUAUUUUGGAGUCUUUUGGAGCAAAAUUGAGCUUGGAAUGAAUGGCACGUGUUUAGAACAAAAGGAAUGGAUGAAAUUGAAGAUUUGAAGAUGUGAGGAAUCCUAAUUGAAGAAGGAUUCCUAAUCAACGAAGGAGUCCUAAUCGAAGAAGGAUUCCUAAUCAACGAAGGACUCCUAAUUGAAGAGGAUUCCUAGAAGAAUGAAGAUUCCUACUCAAACAAGGUUUUCUACUUGAAGUAGGAAAGUUAAGCCUAAAGU
RNAcentral lists this long non-coding RNA (1422 nucleotides) under Malus domestica (apple). RNAcentral's name for it is "long non-coding RNA (MDOM_LNC012662)". Lineage: Eukaryota; Viridiplantae; Streptophyta; Magnoliopsida; Rosales; Rosaceae. The record is from RNAcentral.